UCUGGACCGCCUGGGGGGUGACAGCAGGAAGGACCAGGCUUCGCGGGGCAGGGACCUGACCACUGUUCCCCACCCAGGUCAGGCUGUAGAGGCAGAAACAGCAGAAACCCUGCCCAUGGGCCCACCCUCGCCCUACAGGGGAUCAGGGGUGAAUGGAUCAUGGUUUGGAACCUGAUAAUUAAGACCAUGGAGCCCAACCUAUUGGCCUUCAGGCUUAAUAUCAGACUGCUGCACUUGGUGGACAGACAGGUGCAGCCUGGGGGCCCGCACCUUGGCCAGCAGGAGCAGCGUGCGGCUGGUGCGGGCGUCCGCGUGCCGCUCCCGCAGGUGAAAGAGCUUGGGCGACAUGAUGGCAGGAGAGAAGAAGCGCAGGCACAGGAAGCUGGUGACUGCGAUGAACGGCACGUUCUGGAGAGGUUUGGAGAGUGGGGGCUGGAUUCCCCCUGCCCGGGCUCCGGACAGUCCGCUCCCUUUGGCCCCGCCCCGCCUUCGGCCCCACCCCUGCUCCGCCUCCGCACCGGUUUCUUCCCCGCCCCGUCAGCUCUGACCCAGUCCUGCCGGCAGGGGGCGCACCUCGUACUGGGCGCUGGGAAAGCGCUCGCGCACGCGCCGGAAGAGCUGGCGGAAGGUGGCGCGGAUCACCGCUGGACAGGCGCGAACGGAGCGGCAGAGCGCGCUCAGCAGCGCCCCUAGGUGGGCGCGCAGCGUCUGUGCGCUCUGCUCCAGCACCUCGGCCUCCGUCUGCGGGCGGUGCAGCCCUGAGCACCUGCGAGGGCCGGGGCAGGUGGACAAGACCGCCGCGGUCAGCGCCCGCACACGGACAGAGAACACACAGAUGGGCAGAGCAGCAUCCCGUAGGCCCAGGCAGAAAGAGCCGUAAACACACACUUGCAGAAAGGCAGAUUCCCCACCGCUGCGCCCCCAGGUAUUCCCACCAGCCUCACCCUACAUCCUUAACUUCCACUUUGCUGGGGUCGAGCUCCACGUACUUCUUCUCUUCAAACACUCUGUCAAUGAUGGGGCCCAGGACGCCGUGCAGAUACCGCAUCCCUGCCACCUGGGGGCCACCACGAGCCGCACUGGUCAAGACUCCCGGGUCCAGCUGCCCACUAUCUCCCCAGCCACUCCGUGCACCAUUUGCCCACAGUAUCCACCCAGGAUGGGGCCAGGUGCACAACCAGGUGACUCAACACACUGCUUCUCAUAAAUGAGUGAAUGGAACUCUUAUGCUUUUGAGGGCACAGAGAUAAAACUGGCCUUUCUGAACCUUUGUGUCAUGUCACCCACAAGAUGAGGAUGGUAUACCAGGUAGCCUCACCUUCAGAAAAGAUUCCAUGGACUUUGAGGCCAGAGAGUUGCUUCGGAACAGCGUGUUGGCCUCACCUACAAGCAGAGGUCCCAAUGGGCAGAGGGCUGGAACAAGGCUUGGGGGGAGCAGGAGAACAGAGGACCUGGUGGCUCCUGGCCACCUCCCACCCUGUGCCACCUCUGCUCUCGCCCUCUCCACUGGACCCAUCAGCCUGCUAAGAAGGAGCCCCUCCCCUGUCCAGUGUCAGCUCCUCCCGGGCCUCACUGGUUCGCCCCAGCUCCAGCUGGAAGAGCAGGUCCAGAAAGUCCUUGGCCAGCCCCUGCCCCAGGAAGAGCUUGAGCAGCCCGGGAGGUCAGUAGGCUGCGCUGGCCAGAAUACACCCCGCACCUGGCAGAAGCUGUCAGAGGAGACCCUGGGCCCGUUCUUUGGAAAUGCUUUGGGCUGGACACACACCCGGCCACCUGCUCCUUCCUGUUAAGGGUAUGCAUGGAGGGGGGCAUGGGGGAACUUCUGCAGGGUGACAAGGCAGAACCAGCCAAGGGGUGCAAGUAGGCCAAAGGACUUCCUGGGCAGGGACGCCAGAUUUAACAAAAUAGCAACACAAGACAGUUAAGUUUGGAAUACCCCAUGGUCAUUCCUGCAUCAUCUGGAAUUCAGUUUGCCGGGGUGUCCUGUCUUCUCUCUGGCACCCUGUCCCUGGAGAAGCUUGGGGAGGGGCUUAAGGCUUAUGGCUCUGAGAGACUGACUCUAGGACUUGCACCCUGGUCUGAGGCCUGCAGAGAAGCCCUUAAAAGGAAAGCGUCUGAGGGCUUGUUCUAGAAACUGCCAGAGGCAGGACGGCUGUGUAACCCUGAGCUUGUUGCAGGACGGUGGGACAGGACAGGCGGUGGGUCCUGCUGGCUGGCAAGGACUGAAGGAAGCCUUGGCUGAGCCCCCUGCCCUUCUCCUGCCUGGUGGCCAGCAGCCAGCCCUCAAAUCUCAGACCCGCCCCAGGGCACUCACCCGCCUCGCUGGCUCUUAGACUGGUCGGGCUGCAGCCGGAACCAGCCUUCCUCUUGCUGGGCAGCAUACAGCCUCUGCAUGUUGACCACCACCUGGGGGCAGGACAGGCGGGGGCUGGGACACUCAGGCCCCUCCCUCCCAGGUACUGUUCUCUUGGGGGAAGGGCACCUUCCAAGGGCGCCUGAGCACCAGCCGCAGUGGGUGGGGGAGCUGCUGGUCCUGGGCUUCCUGGGCGCUCCUCUCUGGAGAAACUGAGGCAGGUCCCUGAGGGUGGGAUGGUGGGAAUGGGCGCCGGGUGCUGCCUGGGGUGUGUGUGCGCGUGCUUGCGUGGGGAAUGGAGGGGUGUUACCUUGCCCAGGAAGUCAUUUCGGCUGACGAGGUCCCAGUCCCAGGCCUCAAUGCACAGAGCCUCCGCAGCCCCCUCCUCCAGCUCAAAUUCAAAUGUCUCGUUCCAUCUAGGGUAGCAGGAUUUCUUCACAACCUGUUCAGAAAGGGGCAGGGGUGGGGCUCCCUCGACAGGGCUUCCGAGGCCCAGCCAAGGGCAGAGUUGCCCUGGACACUGUCCCUGGCUCUGUAGUAGCAGAGGUGAAAACUUCCUGUCCAAAGCCAAGCACAGUGGUGAGACACCUGUAAUCCCAGUGACUCAGGAGGCUGAGGCAGGAGGAUCACAAGUUUGAGACUAGCCUCAGCAACUUAGUGAAACCCUACCUCAAAAUAAAGAAAUAAAUAAAAAGAGAACAUGGCUCAGUGGUAAAGUACCCCCAGGGUUAAUUCCCAGUACAAAAACAACAACAAAAAGCAACCUUCUGGGCUGGGAUUGUGGCUCAGUGGUAGAGUGCUUGCCUAGCAGGCAUGAGGCGCUGGGUUCAAUUCUUAGCACCGCAUAUAAAUAAACAAAAGAUCCAUCAACAACUAAAAAAAAUUAAACAAAAAACAACCUUCCUG
Molecule: long non-coding RNA, 3256 nt
Organism: Marmota monax (woodchuck)
Lineage: Eukaryota; Metazoa; Chordata; Mammalia; Rodentia; Sciuridae
Exons: 3
Source: RefSeq, a predicted model, not a curated record